Molecule: ribosomal RNA, 519 nt
Filed under: uncultured Actinomycetes bacterium
Lineage: Bacteria; Bacillati; Actinomycetota; Actinomycetes
Description: SSU rRNA
Rfam family: Bacterial small subunit ribosomal RNA
Source: RNAcentral
AGAGUUUGAUCCUGGCUCAGGACGAACGCUGGCGGCGCGCCUAAUCCAUGCAAGUCGAGCGACGCAUUCCUUAGCCCGUAAGGGCGGGUUUGACGGAGCGGCGAACGGGUGCGUAACACGUGACCAAUCUGCCCCGAAGACCGGGAUAGCCCGGGGAAACCCGGAUUAAUACCGGAUGACCUCAUCAUCACGCAUGUGGAGAUGAGCAAAGGUUCAGGCGCUUCGGGAUGAGGUCGCGGCCCAUCAGCUUGUUGGUGAGGUAACGGCUCACCAAGGCAAUGACGGGUAGCUGGUCUGAGAGGACGAUCAGCCACACUGGAACUGAGGUACGGUCCAGACUCCUACGGGAGGCAGCAGGAGGGAAUCUUGCGCAAUGGGCGAAAGCCUGAUGCAGCGACGCCGCGUGGGGGAUGAAUGCCUUAGGUUGUAAACCCCUUUCACGAAGGAAGAAACUGACGGUACCUCGAGAAGAAGCCCCGGCCAACUACCUGCCAACANCCGCGGUAAUACGUAAGGGGC